Molecule: ribosomal RNA, 405 nt
Filed under: uncultured bacterium
Lineage: Bacteria
Description: bacterial SSU rRNA
Rfam family: Bacterial small subunit ribosomal RNA
Source: RNAcentral
UGGGGAAUUUUCCGCAAUGGGCGCAAGCCUGACGGAGCAAUACCGCGUGAGGGAGGAAGGCUCUUGGGUCGUAAACCUCUUUUAUCAGGGAAGAACACAAUGACGGUACCUGAUGAAUCAGCAUCGGCUAACUCUGUGCCAGCAGCCGCGGUAAUACAGAGGAUGCAAGCGUUAUCCGGAAUUAUUGGGCGUAAAGCGUCCGCAGGUGGUUUUGGUAGUCUGCUGUCAAAGCGCGAGGCUCAACUUCGUAUCGGCGGUGGAAACUCCAAGACUAGAGCUAGGUAGGGGUCACGGGAAUUCCCAGUGUAGCGGUGAAAUGCGUAGAUAUUGGGAAGAACACCAGCGGCGAAAGCGCGUGACUGGGCCUGAGCUGACACUCAUGGACGAAAGCGUGGGGAGCAAACA